UGGCUCCCCCGCCCCCCUCUCGACCCCUGGUAACCGAGGUCACAAGAUCAGGAGCGCGUGUGGGGGACACGGACCUCCUCCCCCACCAACUCCGGACCAGGUGCCCUCCGAGGGGCGCCGAGGUGCGGCGGGGCGGGAAAGACGGCUGAGGGAUCCUCCAGCAUCCAGAUGCCGCAGGUGGCCUCGUCCCUGGGCCCUUGAGUUAUUUGCUGGGCAUUUAGUGCCUGGGGAGCCGGUGUUUAAUCCACAUACAUGGAGCGGAUGUACACAGCAGGUGUUUAAUCCACAUACAUGGAGCGGAUGUACACAGCAGGUGUUUAAUCCACAUACAUGGAGCGGAUGUACACAGCAGGUGUUUAAUCCACAUACAUGGAGUGAAUGGGUGGAUUCUUCACCACCUCAGCCACCAGAGAAGCUCAGAAAAAGCAUCAUUUGCCACCAAGGAAAGUUAUCAUGAAAACAC
Bos taurus (domestic cattle) is the source of this 463-nucleotide long non-coding RNA. Lineage: Eukaryota; Metazoa; Chordata; Mammalia; Artiodactyla; Bovidae. The record is from Ensembl.